GGGGCGGGGCCGGCGCCAGGGCGCGUGCGCGGGCCGCCGCGGGCGGGAGCUCAGUGCGGUGUGUGGCGGCUGCGGGGCGGCGCCUCCCGCUUUUGCUCCGUGGCUCGGCGGCGGCCCGGGCGCUGGGGGCCGGGAGGGCGGCGGCAGGAGCAUAAAACUGAAGAGGAAGACCACCCAUCACAUCAUCUCAGCAGCUCCACUUUCUCUGCCACAACAUAAAGAGCAACACUCGUAUUUUUUUUCCCACUUCAAAUGACAGCACAGCUUUAAGCCGUGUUCCUCCAUGUUUGCCAAAGCGUUUCCAAGUCUUAGGCGUCUGGUUUUUCAAAGAGCAGGUGAAAAGCUUAGCUCCCAGUGAAAUGCAUGAAGUCUGAAAAAGAGGUCAUCUCAGAAACCUUUUAUCUAACACAUCUUUAAAGAAGCUAUUUCUCUCCAUGUCUGGUAGCACCCGUUGCCAGUCGAGACAAGAAAAGAGCACUUGUGGGAAGGGGAUGCGCUGGUUCUGCUCAGCGGAGCAUCCGGAGAGGAGGACAGAGUCUCUCAGGAAGAGCCUGAAGCCUUGCCGUAAGGACACGGGACACAUCAAAUGGUGCACAACAUACAGACAGAGCCAUGAAUCCACCUGGUCUUCACUUUCUGACUUCUGAUCUAAUGAAAAUGCUAAACAAGGCAGGAUUUGCUAGGACCUUCCUGAGAGCAUCACAGACCCGAGGCGGACACCUUGGCUGGGCUGGGCCGGAGCCGACGAGCAGGGGGCGAAAACUCCCCAUUUCACGACAAACCUCUGCAGCCGCCCCAUCCAUCCUGUCAGCACAACGUUGGACUCUGCUUCGGGGAGCCCCUUCUCCAUCCUUCUUCAAAGGAAGGUGCGUUUCCUCCUUACCGGGGUUCUGCGAGAAAGAAGAGCUACACUGUAAAAAACCACUGCUAUCACUGCUAGAUAAAAACAACCGUGUUGUUUUAAAGGAAAUAAAGCACAGAACACAACUGCCAAGUGAACUCCUUGGCGGUCAGCUGGA
Dromaius novaehollandiae (emu) is the source of this 1019-nucleotide long non-coding RNA. RefSeq lists it as uncharacterized. The transcript has 3 exons. The record is from RefSeq and is a predicted model, not a curated record. Lineage: Eukaryota; Metazoa; Chordata; Aves; Casuariiformes; Dromaiidae.